CCUUGUGCCAGCAGCCGCGGUAAAACCAGCUCUUCAAGUGGUCGGGAUAAUUAUUGGGCUUAAAGUGUCCGUAGCCGGUUUAGUAAGUUCCUGGUAAAACCGGGCGGCUUAACUGUCCGUAUGCUAGGAAUACUGCUAUGCUAGAGGGCGGGAGAGGUCUGAGGUACUACAGGGGUAGGGGUGAAAUCUUAUAAUCCUUGUAGGACCACCAGUGGCGAAAGCGUCAGACUGGAACGCGCCUGACGGUGAGGGACGAAAGCCAGGGGAGCGAACCGGAUUAGAUACCCGGGUAGUCCUGGCCGUAAACGAUGCAUACUAGGCAAUGGUGCGGCCAUGAGCCGCAUCAGUACCGUAGGGAAACCGUUAAGUGUGCCGCCUGGGAAGUACGGUCGCAAGGCUAAAACUUAAAGGAAUUGGCGGGGGAGCACCACAAGGGGUGAAGCUGCGGUUCAAUUGGACUCAACGCCGGGAAACUUACCAGGGGAGACAGCAGAAUGACAGUCAGGUUGACGACCUUACUCGACGAGCUGAGAGGAGGUGCAUGGCCGUCGCCAGUUCGUGCUGUGAGGUAUCCUGUUAAGUCAGGCAACGAACGAGAUCUGCGCCUUUAUUUGCCAUCAAGAAGUCACGACUUCGUUGGGAACACUAAAGGGACCGCCGUCGAUAAGACGGAGGAAGGAGCGGGCAAAGGCAGGUCUGU
Molecule: ribosomal RNA, 700 nt
Filed under: uncultured crenarchaeote
Lineage: Archaea; Thermoproteati; Thermoproteota
Description: bacterial SSU rRNA
Rfam family: Archaeal small subunit ribosomal RNA
Source: RNAcentral